GGGGAUAUAGCUCAGUUGAUAGAGUGCUUGCUUUGCAUGCACAAGGUCCUGGGUUCUAAUCCCCAGCACCGCCA
This 74-nucleotide transfer RNA is filed under the name Ictidomys tridecemlineatus (thirteen-lined ground squirrel). RNAcentral's name for it is "Spermophilus tridecemlineatus (thirteen-lined ground squirrel) tRNA". It matches the Rfam family "tRNA". Rfam says of the family: Transfer RNA (tRNA) molecules are approximately 80 nucleotides in length. Lineage: Eukaryota; Metazoa; Chordata; Mammalia; Rodentia; Sciuridae. The record is from Rfam by way of RNAcentral.